RNAcentral lists this ribosomal RNA (394 nucleotides) under uncultured bacterium. RNAcentral's name for it is "bacterial SSU rRNA". It matches the Rfam family "Bacterial small subunit ribosomal RNA", at positions 96 to 524 of the family's 1533-position model. The record is from RNAcentral.
UGGCGGACGGGUGAGUAACGCGUGGGAACGUGCCCUUCGGUUCGGAAUAACUCAGGGAAACUUGAGCUAAUACCGGAUACGUGCGAGAGCAGAAAGGUUUAUCUGCCGAAGGAUCGGCCCGCGUCUGAUUAGCUAGUUGGUGGGGUAAAGGCCCACCAAGGCGACGAUCCGUAGCUGGUCUGAGAGGAUGAUCAGCCACAUUGGGACUGAGACACGGCCCAAACUCCUACGGGAGGCAGCAGUGGGGAAUCUUGCGCAAUGGGCGAAAGCCUGACGCAGCCAUGCCGCGUGAAUGAUGAAGGUCUUAGGAUUGUAAAAUUCUUUCACCGGGGACGAUAAUGACGGUACCCGGAGAAGAAGCCCCGGCUAACUUCGUGCCAGCAGCCGCGGUAAU